UGGGGAAUAUUGGACAAUGGGCGAAAGCCUGACCCAGCCAUGCCGCGUGGAGGAUGAAGGUCCUCUGGAUUGUAAACUUCUUUUAUCUGGGAAGAAACCCAUGAAUUCUUUCGUGGUUGACGGUACCAGAUGAAUAAGCACCGGCUAACUCCGUGCCAGCAGCCGCGGUAAUACGGAGGGUGCAAGCGUUAUCCGGAUUCACUGGGUUUAAAGGGUGCGUAGGUGGGCAGGUAAGUCAGUGGUGAAAUCCCCGAGCUUAACUCGGGAACUGCCGUUGAUACUAUCUGUCUUGAAUAUCGUGGAGGUAAGCGGAAUAUGUCAUGUAGCGGUGAAAUGCUUAGAUAUGACAUAGAACACCCAUUGCGAAGGCAGCUUACUACACGAUCAUUGACACUGAGGCACGAAAGCGUGGGGAGCAAA
This 420-nucleotide ribosomal RNA is filed under the name uncultured bacterium. Its description in RNAcentral is "bacterial SSU rRNA". It matches the Rfam family "Bacterial small subunit ribosomal RNA", at positions 355 to 772 of the family's 1533-position model. The record is from RNAcentral.